Molecule: non-coding RNA, 19381 nt
Organism: Pelobates cultripes (western spadefoot toad)
Lineage: Eukaryota; Metazoa; Chordata; Amphibia; Anura; Pelobatidae
Source: the annotation of a GenBank genome assembly
AGAAGCUUUAGUUUUUGACUUCAGUAUUAUUUUCCAGCCCGUGCUGUGAUGAUGUUCUCUCUCAUACCACUACCUACCAUCAGAUCUGUCCUAUCCAAGCAAGUGCAAGGUUCAUCUUAUGGUGAGUAACAUGUCUCUUUGUGAUAAUAAUCUCAGUUAAUGCAAAUGUUCACAUUCUUCAUGUAGGUGUGCAGGUGAUUUGGCAUUACAUUUCCUCUCCCUCUCCCUUCCCCUGAAGUGUGUAGUGUGUGUAUAGUUGGUGUAGAGCAGGGUUAGGGAACCUUUGGCACUCCAGCUGUUGUGGACUACAUCCCCAUGAAGCUCGUAUAGCUAUAAUUAAGGCAAUGCAUCAAUGCAUUAGGGGAGAAAUAUGCCUAACCUUGGUGUAGAGCGUGUGUAGUGUGUGUAAGUACAGGAGGUGUAGUGUGUAUAUUGGAUGUACAGAGUGUGUGUGUGUUUAAUAAGUGCAGGGAAUGUAGUGUGUGUGUAUAUAGGGGGUAUAGUGUGCGUAGUGUGUUUGUGUCUGUAAAUGCAGGAGUGUCAUGUGCGUAUAUAGGGGGUAUAGAGUGUGUGUAGUGUAUUUGUUAAAUGUAGGUAAGCAGGCCCGGCGCUACCAUAAGGCGCCUUAGGGCGCACCGGCCCAGGGGAAGUGAUCGCCAGGUGACCAGAAGGAGGAGAGCGCCAUUCGCAUCGCUCCCCUCCUGUUGGUGACUGCGUGGAGCGUGGCCCGAGCGGUCAUAAUGCUACUUACCCAGUCUGACAUGAAAAGAUAAAAGAUACAGGGGACAACCAUAAAAAGGUACAAGGGGGAGGGGAACAAUAAAAGAUACAGGACAGGAGGGGGAAGACAAUAAAAGGUACAGGAGGGGAAAGGAAGGAGACAAUAGGUAAAGGGGGGAGCAAUAAAAGGUACAGGAGAGGAUGGGGACAAUAAAAGGUACAGGAUGGGAGCGGGUACUAUGAAAAGUUCAGAAGGGGGGGACAAUAAAAGGUACAGAAGGGGGAACAAUAAUAAAAGGUACAAGUGGAGAGGCAAUAAAAGGGACAGGAGGGGAGGGGGGACAUUAAAAUGGGGGGGAUUGAAAAACACAGGAGGGAAAGGGGGACUAUUAAAGGUUCAGGAGGGGAGGAGGUGAGAUAAUAAAAGGUACAGAGGGGCAAUAAAAUGGAGAGGAGGGGCAAUAAAAGGUGCAGAGGGAUAAUAAAAGAAACAGGAGUGCUGUGGGACACAAAUAGAUAUACUGGAGGUUGAGACAAAUACACAGAGGGGCUGGGGGGAAAGAUGCACAGAGGGGUUGUGGGGGAGAAAGAAGUACAAAGGGGCUAGGGGGAGAAAGGUGCUGGGGUAAAAAGACGCACAAUGUGUUGUGGAGAAAGAGACACAGAAAGCUGCAGGGGGAUGAAAGACACACAAAAGGGCUGGGGGAAAGAAAGAGACAGACAAAGGGGCUGGGCGAAGUAAAAAAAUACACAAGGGGGGUUGUAAGAGACAGAUUAGAGAAAAUACAGCAAAGUGGACACACAAAAGGUAAAGGGGGGCAAGACAUAAAAAAUGGGAUAUAAAACACUAAAGGGGGCAAGUUAGUCAAAAGGGGUGUUAGAAGACACACAGGUGAAGAUACAUUUUUUUUUUUGGUGGGGAGGGGGUGGCAAAAUGCAUCUUCUCCUGUGUAGUCAAAAAUCCUUGCACCGGCCCUGUAGGUAAGUGAAGGGUGUGUAGUGUGUGUGUAUAGGAAGGUAUGUAAUGUGUGUCUGUGUGUGUGUAAGUAAGUGCAGAUGGUGUAGGGGGUAGGAUGGGGGCUUAAACAAAUCAUUUAAAACAAACACCUUUACACCCCCUCUUAUUACUUUGCAGGGGGAGAACUCUGGUGGUCCAGUGAGCUAGUUAUGUGGUCUCAGCCAGUGUUUCAGAGUGGGUUGCCACUGCAUUCUGACAAUAUCGGAGCUCACCAGAGCUGGGUUGGGGGGAGUGGGGGUGUUUACCAAAACCAAAAUUUUGUUUUAUGAAAACUGUGGUUUUUGGUUGUAGUAACUGUAAGUGUCAAGUUAUUUCAGUAGUAGUAUGAGUCCAAAUGCAUAGGAGGAUAAUUGAAUAUUGCAUGGUACCUAUAGGGGAGAAAGGAGUGUGAAUAAUAUGAGGCCAGUUAAAGUUGAAUUAAAAUGAGAUAUUGGAUGUGAUAAAUUUUGUAAUUUAGAGAUCUGUUAAAAGAAAUAUUUGAAUCGUGGAAAAUUCACCCGCCUAUACUUCCCCCUCCAAACACAGCACGUUCAGGCAGAGUAGACACCUGCCAUCCAUGCCUACUCUGCCUUAUCACACAGCCGGCCUUUUCCUGGGCCCCUCCCAGGAGAAGGUUGCUUAGGUGGCCAGCCGGCCUGCUCCUGGAGUACCUCCUGCUUUUGGUUGAAACACUGUGUUCUAUAGGAUCCCACAUUAAGCCUGCCACUAUAAGGGUGGUAAUAUAAUGUUACAUAGUUACAUAGCUGAAAAGAGACUUGCGUCCAUCAAGUUCAGCCUACCUCACAUUUGUUUUUUGCUGUUGAUCCAAAAGAAGGAAAAAAAACCCAGUUUGAAGCACAAUUUUGCAACAAGCUAGGAAAAAAAUUCCUUCUUGACCCCAGAAUGGCAGUUAGAUUUAUCCUUGGAUCAAGCAGUUAUUACCCUACAUUGAAAGAUUAUAUCCUUGAAUAUUCUGUUUUGCAAGUAUGCAUCUAGUAGCCAUUUGAACAUCUGUAUGGACUCUGAUAAAACCACUUCUUCAGGCAGAGAAUUCCACAUCCUGAUUGUUCUUACAGUAAAAAAAACCUUUUCUUUGCCUUAGACGAAAUCUUCUUUCUUCCAGUCUAAACGCAUGGCCUCAUGUCGUAUGUAAAGUCCGGUUUGUGAAUAGAUUUCCACACAGUGGUUUGUAUUGGCCCCGAAUAUAUUUGUAUAAUGUUAUCAUAUCCCCUCUCAGGCGACGUUUUUCUAAACUAAAUAGGUUUAAAUUUGUUAACCUUUCUUCAUAGCUGAUAUGUUCCAUUCCUUUUAUUAAUUUUGUAGCCCACCUUUGCACUUUUUCUAGUGCCAUAAUAUCCUUGUUUAGAACAGGUGCCCAAAAUUGCACAGCAUAUUCAAUAUGGGGUCUUACCAGUGAUUUAUAAAGAGGCAAAAUGAUAUUCUCGUCCCAAGAAUGAAUGCCCUUUUUCAUGCAUGACAAUACCUUACUGGCCUUGGCCACUGCUGAUUGACAUUGCACAUUGUUGCAUAGUUUGUUGUCUAUAACAAUUCCCAAGUCCUUUUCGUGUGUUGUUAUCCCUAAUUUGCUUCCAUUAAUGGUAUACGUUGCUUGUGAAUUCUUUAUGCCAAAGUGCAUAACUUUGCAUUUUUUAACAUGAAAUUUAAUCUGCCAUUUGAGUGCCCAGUCCCCCAGUCUAUCUAAAUCCCUCUGCAGCAAAGUAAUAUCUUGCUCACAUUGUAUUAUUUUACAAAGUUUUGUGUCAUCUGCAAACACUGAAACAUGACUUUCAAUGUCAUCCUUUUAGUAUUGGAUACUUGGUGCCUUAGGAUUGUGUGUUGGUGGCAAAUCUACUUUGACACAAGACAUAGAUUUUAACAAUUCAUGUUUGAAUUUGAGCUGUCUUGAAGUAUUUGGACUCACUGAAGUCCAGACCAAAUUCAAGCUCAUUCGAAACAUGCUCUGCAAAAUUCACACAUUGGUACUUACAGUGAACAAUGUCUAGGUUUUGCAGUGGGAACCUAAACUGUGCCAAAUGGUUUGCCCCAUUCAGUAUAUUGCCAUUCAGACUUGAAUAAGCCUGUAAAACUUUUUUCACAAUAAAAAAAAAAAAAAAAUCAUUGGUUUUGUUUUAUAAAGAAACAAGCACAUUUAUAAAGGUUAUCAGCAACAGUUCCUGCGUAAAUAAAACUUCCAGUAAAUAAAACAGAAGAGCACUCAUCAUGUUAUAGGGUAUUAUAUUGCCUAUUUUCACAAAUUCUAAAGUCAAAUUAUAGUUGUUUCUCUAAAUGUCUGUACCCAAAGCAAGUUUUAACAUUGUUACUCACACUGACUAAGAAGAGACAGAUUAAUUUUUAUUCCAGGAAUUCCCCAUUGCUUGUUACCCUUGAUUUGUUAAAAACAAAUGACAUUCACAGGGUUUAACUUUAUCCACACAAAAAUAACAAUGGUAUUGCUGCACUUUAGUGACCUCCGGUUGACUGGCUUACUGCUGCUGAUAUUUAUUGUGGUAUAUAAAUUCUCGUUAUUUAAGUCCAUACUCAUUUCCUGUUUGACCUCCCACGCUCAUUACACAAUUCUGUUUCUGAAAACGAACUCCAUGCUCCAUGAGCAGGGAAGCUAACACCAAUUUAGGCAAACCUAUGGUUAUCUAAAUCUGUUUUGUUCUAUUUCAAUACUCUCUAAACCAUUACUAUUUGGCCAUUGAAUCACUUUUUGAUUUAUUCACUAAAUUGGGAAACAUUAGGAUUUCAGGCUGAAUUCCAAGCAAAUUUAAAGUAUUCAGCCAUAAUAGCUGAAUUGAUAGAGUUCUCAAAUCCGAUCUGUUUUUAGUUUGACUAUUUUGGUCUGAAAUUGGAAAUUCAUUUUAUAUUCACUGUGUCUUUAAUAUGCAUUUUCUAACUACAAACCUAAAAAGCAUUACAGGCCUACCGUGCAUGUAUGGCAAUUGCUUUGCUGCACCAAUCAGCAUUUCCUCAUAGAAAUGCAUUACACCGAUACAUCCAGGGCCGGUGCAAGGAUUUCUGCCGCCGUAGGCAAAGAUCUAUUUUGCCGGCCCCUCAGAUCACUAACUCACUGAAAGACACACACUGACACACACGCUAGCUCACUGACACACACACAGACACUUACUGACAAACAUACACACACUCACUGACAUACAUACACUCACUCAUUGACAGUCAGACACACAUACACUCACUCACUGACACACACACACAGACACUUACUGACAGACACACUCACUGACACACACACACACACACAGACACUCACUGACAUACAUUCACUCACUCACUGACAGACACACACACACGACACUUACUGACAGACAGACAUACACUCACUGACAGACACAUAAUCACUCACUCACUGACAGACAUACACUCACUCACUGACACACACACAGACACUCACUGACAAACACACACACAGGCAGACACUCACUGACACACUUAAACACUAACCUCCCUGCUGGGGUCCAGUGUGGAGCAGCUCCUCAGUUCUCCAGCAUGCAGUUUAGUGUGCCUGCUCUGCAUUACCUAAUACAGGUUCGGGGGUGCCCUGAGGGGGCCAGAUGGCCACCUCCUGGGCCCCCUAUGACAGCGCUCUUUUUGGCGCCCCCACCUUCGGGCACCUUGAGGAUCGACCUAACGCUGGGGGGCGGCUCAAGAGCCGCUCUCCCAGCGCUGCGGCCCCAUACAAGGGGUGCCCACCAGGAAACAUCCCAGUGGGUGCUCCCAGCAGAUCGGCGCCCUAGGCAAAUGCCUAAUUUGCCUAACGGUGGCACCGGCCUUAAAUGCAUCUCUAUGGAAGUGUUGAUCUUGAUGAUGCUGAGCCUGAAGACAGUGAACUACGGUUAUGGUGCCAGGAGUUCCUCUGCACUCCAUCCCACCCCAUUGUAAGUAGUCAGACUAUUUUUGAGCAUUUUGACUUCAUACCUGGGAUUCAAUUAGGGGUCCCCAAGGCCAGGGGCGUUUUAGCCGCGAGGCAAACAAGGCAUUUGCCUUGGGCGGCAUUUUUCAGGGGGCGGCAAAAAAACGCCGCCCCCAAAUGCCCAGGGCAAAUGCCUAGUUAGCCUUGCGGCUAACUGGCAUCCCGAGCGGGCGGGCGGCGCUGGCAGGCGGGCGGCUGGCGAGGGAGCUCUUCCCCUGAGCGGUCUGCUCAGCUCCCUCACGUGCCGCAGAGUGAGGCUGGGAGCCGGAAGAUGACGUCAUCAACCCAGCUGCCAGCCUCACUUUGCGGCGCGCGAGGGAGCUGAGCAGACCGCUCAGGGGAAGAGCUCCCUCGCCAGCCACCCGCCUAGCCCGACAACCACUGGACCACCAGGGAAGUAAUGAACCCCUACCCCCCCCCAGCACUCCCAAUGGUAAGGAGGUUGGGGGGGGGGAAUAAAAAAACGUGUUAAUGUGAGUGAGUGAGUGAGUGUGUGUUUUGUUAGUGUGUGUGUGUGUGUCUGACUGUGUGAGUGUGAGUGUGUGUCUGACUGUGUGUCUGACUGUGUGUCUGUUAGUGUGUGUCUGAUUGUGUGUGUCUGACUGUGUGUGUGUGUCUGUUAGUGUGUGUCUGACUGUGUGUGUGUGUCUGUUAGUGUGUGUCUGACUGUGUGUCUGUUAGUGUGUGUCUGGCUGUGUGUCUGACUGUGUGUCUGUUAGUGUGUGUCUGACUGUGUGUGUCUGACUGUGUGAGUGUGAGUGUGUGUCUGUUAGUGUAUGUCUGACUGUGUGUCUGUUAGUGUGUGUCUGACUGUGUGUCUGACUGUGUGUGUCUGACUGUGUGUCUGACUGUGUGUGUCUGACUGUGUGUCAGUUAGUGUGUAUGUGUCUGUUAGUGUGUGUGUCUGUUAGUGUGAGUGUAUUUGCCUGUGAGUGUGUGUGUUAAUGUGUGUGUGUUUGUUAGUGUGUUUGUGUGUGUCUGUUAGUGUGUGUCUGACUGUGUUUGUCUGUUAGUGUGUAUGUGUGUGUCUGACUGUGUCAGUGAGUGUGUGUGUGUCUGCUAGUGUGUGUGUGUCUGCUAGUGAGUGUGUGUGUCUGCUAGUGAGUGUGUGUGUCUGCUAGUGAGUGUGUGUGUUUUCCUGUGUGUGUGUUUUCCUGUGUGUGUGUUUUCCUGUGUGUGUGUUUGCCUGUGUGUGUGUUUGCCUGUGUGUGUGUUUGCCUGUGAGUGUGUGUGUCAGUGAGUGUGUGUCUGUUAGUGAGUGUGAGUGUGUCUGUUAGUGUGUGUGUGUUUCUGUUAGCGAGUGUAUGCGUAUCUGUCAGUGAAUGUGUGUGUGUGUGUGUGUAUUUAGAGGGCGGGGGAAGGGUUGGGGGGUGGGUUGGCACGGCGGGGGUGGGGGGGCGCCUGAGAUUUGUCCUGCCUAGGGCAGCACAAAACCAGGAUACACCACUGCCCAAGGCAGAGACUAGCUCAAUAACCAAGAGUGAUAAACAGGCAGACAGUAAUCAUCCAAAUCACUCAACAACUGCCCUUUUAAAACUGUCAUGAAACAAUGAGAUUGCAGUUAUUUUCCUUGAUUUUGCCAAGGCCCUUGACACAGUAGAGUCGACCAUGGCAUUCUUUUGCAAAAACUUAAAAACUCAGGUAUUGGUGAUCGUCCGCUAACCUGGUGUCGAUCAUAUGUAACAGAUCGAUCGCAAUAUGUGGCCAUUUCUAAUAUUGCCUCCCUCUUCCAAUCAUGUGUGUUGUUGCCCAAAGCCCCCUACUCUUCACAUUAUUUAUAAAUGAUCUGCCUAAUGUCUGCAAAGCCUUAACUAUACACAUGUAUGCAGGCGACAGUUAUCUAGGCUAGUAAACCCAAGCUACCCCAGCUUGAGACUGUGCGCCAAAACCAAUUUACAGAGGUAGAAAAGUGAAUAGCGGAUAACAAACUCUUCCUAAACACUGACAAAACUGUUAAAAUGAUCCUUGGAACUGUACCUAAAUUACGUAAACAACAAAACCCCCAACUAUAGAACACUUUCAAAUAUGUAGGUAUAUUUCUAGACCCCAAUCUAUCCUUUGACCGAUACAUUGAAAACUCUCUUUAAAACUAUAUCCAAAACUAGGUGUCCUGUAGAAACAUAUCCUGCCUAAGCCAUACAGUAAGGAAACAAUAAAUGCUACUGCCGGUCAUUGAUUAUCGGGAUGUAGUGUAUGCACCUGCACCGCAAAUCCACCUUAAUAAACUUAAUGCAUUGUAUAAUUUGUUCUGCCACUUUAUACUAGAAUAUAAUUACACGACCCACCAUUGUGACAUGUUAUGUUGUUAUGUUGAAUUCUGACACACUUCAUUUUUCCAGCCUUGUGCAUAAGAGCUUUUAUGAGAAGCUCCCACUCUACCUGAGUAGAAUGCUCUCCCUGGCAGUUCCCACCUCCUAUAACCUCUGAUACAGUACUAUCGCGAUAUUUGGCAUACCGCAAUACAAAAAUAAAGUGGCUCGAUCCUCAUUUUCCUACAUUGCAUCACAAUUAUGGAAUAACCUCAGGGACACAGAGCUGUUUGGCAGCAUACCUCAAUACACAUGUCAUUGCUGACUAUAUUUAUUACCUAUUAUCUGUUACAUUUAUAUAUUUGUGUAUGUAUAUAUAUAUUGUAUUAUUUUUUUUGCAAUAUUAUAUUGUACCCUAUUGUAACAAUGUAGUGAUUGUGGGCUGAGGACAUAACUGAAAACAAGAGAAAUCUAAAUGUAUCCUUCCUGGUAAAAUAUUUUGUAAGUAAAUAAAAAUAAGAUGCCAGAGAAAUAGAUUUUUUUAUUUUUUUUUAUUUGCUUUCUUGGUUUUCACAGAAUAAAGACAUUUUAUUCUAAUGAUCUACUUAUAUAAAUAUUAUUUAUUGUACAUACAUAGGGAUGGUCUGUGGGAGUGCACAUUUCAUAUAUAUUUUUAUAUUUUUUAUUAUUUGUGUAUUAUUUAAUAGGUGUAGUACACACAGAGCUUGUUGGCACCUCACCUUAUAUAUUUGUAUACAAUUACUUUUGUGUGCGUAUUUUUGCCUCAUUUUUUUUUUUUACAUGAUAGAUUGUUUCCCCUGAAAACAUUAAUGUGCAGCCAUUCAUGUUCUGAAAAGGAAAUGUGUAGGUAUUUGCCAAAGACAGCAUGCUUUAUAUUUUGCGGGGGGAUGAUGGGCUGAUUGGAGAUGUAUACUCAAGAGUAGCCACACUAGAUUAUUUUUAAAACCCUCCUUUAAAAACAUAUUUCAAUCCCUCGAUAUAAAAUGUGCACCACUCGUGACAUAUUCUGUACUGACAACGCAAUUUCUAUGCGUUAUUUUUCCCUAUUAAUAAGUCUCUAUAAGCUUGUUUGUCUAACAAUACACAAAGAAAAUAAAGAAUGUCAAAAUAAACAAAAAAAAACAUACUUCAAAUAUGGACUCUACACUUCACUCCCUUAUUUUAUUUUAAAAAAAAGUCUCUCUUUUUGGCAUGCACUGGUUAGAUAUGCUUGGGGCAUAAGAAAAACUCACCAAAAACAUUUGGGGAUUUUACACCCAUAGUGUUAAAAAUUCCUUUAAACAGAGUAAGCACCUAAGCAAGUUUUGAAAUGAAUCUCUUCAUAUAACGCUCAUACCACAGGUCUAAUUUCACUGGCUCGACUCGAAUUGCAGAGCCAUACACUAGAGUGUGAAAUCUUCCGUAAUAUAAUAUGGAAUAAUGACCAUUGUUCCUAUUGUAUAUUUGUGUCUACAAUCACUAUUUUGAAAUCUUUCCACUUGUAGAACAGUUUUCACUACAUCACUAAAACAGCUCGAGGCAACAUAGGUAACAUAGGUGUUUCACGUGAAAAGACAAAAGCAAAGAAAAUGUCAGGGUGUGGACCAAUCUUCUAUUUAAAUAACUAUAUUACAGUGAGGGGAAAUAAAGGUAUUUGAUCCCCUACUGAUUUUGAACGUUUGCCAACUGACAAAGAAAUGAUCAGUCUAUAAGUUUUAUAGAGAGACAGAAUAACAAAGAAAAUACUGAAAAAUACUAGUCAAAAAAGUUAUAAAUUGAUUUGCAUGUCAAUAACUGAAAUAAGUAUUUGAUCCCCUUUGACUUUCUACUUGGUAGCAAAACCCUUGUUUGUAGUCACAGAGGUCAGAUGUUUCUUUGCCACCAGGUUUGCACACAUCUCAGAAGGGAUUUUGUCUUAUUCCUCUUUGCAGAUCCUCUCCAAGUCAUUAAGGUUUUGAGACUGACGUUUGGCAACUCGAACCUUCAACUCCCUCCACAGAUUUACUAUGGGAUUAAGGUCUGGAGACUGACUAAGCCACCCCAGGACCUUAAUGUGCUUCUUCUUAAGCCACUCUUUUGUUGCCUUGGCUGUGUGUUUUUGGUCAUUGUCAUGCUGGAAUACCCAUCCACUACCCAUUUUCAAUGCCUUGGCUGACAGAAGAAGAUCCUCACCCAAGAUUUGACAGUACAUGGCCCUGUCCAUCGUCCCUUUGAUGUGGUGCAGUUCUCCUGUCCCCUUAGCAGAAAAACAUGCCCAAAGCAUAAUGUUUCCACCUCCAUGUUUGACGGUGGGGGUGGUGUUCUUGGGGUCAUAGGCAGCAUUCCUCCUCCUCCAAACAUGGCCAGUUGAGUUGAUGCCAAAGAGCUCAAUUUUGUUCUCAUCUGACCACAACACUUUCACCCAGUUCUCCUCUGAAAUGUUCAGAUGUUCACUGGCAAACUUCAGACGGGCCUGUACAUGUGCUUUCUUGAGCAGCAGAACCUUGUGGGCGCUGCAGGAUUUCAGUCCUUUACGGCGUAGUGCGUUACCAAUUGUUUUCUUGGUGACUAUGGUCCCAUCUUCCUUGAGAUCAUUGACAAGAUCCUCCUGUGUAGUUCUGGGCUGAUUUCUUACCAUUCUCAUGAUCAUUAAAACUCCACGAGGUGAGAUCUUGCAUGGAGCACCAGACCGAGGGAGACUGGCAGUUAUUUUGUGUUUCUUUCAUUUGCAAAUAAUUGCACCAACUGUUGUCACCUUCUCACCAAGCUUCUUGGCAUUGGUUUUGGAGCCCAUUCCAUCCUUGUGUAGGUCUAUAAUCUUGUCCCUGACAUCCUUGGACAGCUCUUUGGUCUUGGUCAUGGUGGAGAGUUUGGAAUCUGAUUGAUUGAUUGCUUCUGUGGACAGGUGGUGUCUUUUAUACAGGUAAAGAGCUGAGAUUAGGAGCACUCCCUUUAAGAGAGUGCCCCUAAUCUCAGCUUGUUACCUGUAUAAAAGACACCUGGGAGCCAGAAAUCUUGCUGAUUGAUUGGGGAUCAAAUACUUAUUUUACUCAUUGACAUGCAAAUCAAUUAAUAAAAUUUUGGACAUGCGUUUUUCUACCUUUUUUUUUUUUUUUUUAAAUUCUGUCUCUCACUGUUAAAAUUCACCUACCAUUAAAAUUCUAGACUAAUCAUUUCUUUGUCAGUGGGUAAACGUUCAAAAUCAGCAGGGGAUCAACUACUUUUUUCCCUCACUGUAUGUUUUAUAGUUACCUUUUCAGACUCAAAAUAAAAAAAAUACCACAUAUUCUAAUGAAUGGUUUUCUUAUAUAUGUGUCAGUUUAAGACAGUAUUUGAGCAAUUCUUUUAUGUAUUCCAGGAAAAAUCUUUGUCGUACUUCAGUUCUCUCUGGCAAUCUCUGCAGUGAUUACCUCCAUUGCAUUCAACAAGAUCUACCAGGCUACGUUACAACUUUUCUCUGGUUCAAGUUUUAUCCUAUCUGCUGUAAUUGCUGCUCUGAGUCUUAUUCCCAUUGGGUAAGUAGAACGACAUUGUAACGGUAGCUUACUAUAUAGCACUAAGAAAAAACAUGGAAAGGCUGGUUAUGUGUUAGUAACUGUGCCUAUAUCAGUAUAUGUUAACUCGUUAAGGACAGAGGUAAUAGUCCAAAUUCAGAUCCAAAACAAAACCUAGAAAUGCAUGUGUUUGUUCCACCAUAAUGUAAGGGUUUCUCUUUAAGUUCCCCCAUACAUAUCAUAUAUUGUUUUUUAAAGGACAGAAAUAUUAAGUGUGAAUAAAAUGUUUAAAAAAAAAAUGAAAACGAAAAACAUUUUUUUAAAACUGUACAUCCAGUUCAACAAAAAAACAAAACUCAAAGUAGAUUCCUCUGUCAGUCCUGAUUGUUAAAUGCCUCAUAUGUUUAUGAUCUAAAUACACUUUUGGUAAUUAAUGUUAACCCUUUGCCAACCUGCCACCUAGAGCUAUGCACACUUUAACCCUGUGCUUACACCAAUGCUACUUGUAUACAUAUCCUUACCUUACCCUUAACCCGACACUAUCUAUAACCCUAGAACAGCAUUAACCCAAACCCAGCAUUAACCCUUACCUUUCUACACUCACACCCAUAAAUCUAACAUUAUCUCUAACGUAACCCUAACAUCUCCACUAAUCCCAAUCCUAAAGAAAACCUCUGCCAAUAUAAAUGUUCUUAAUUAAAACAGUAUAUGGAGGUCUGUUACAUUCAAUGUAAUCAUGAAUGGAGCCUGCUUCCAAGCUGAUUACACUGUGACCGGUGCUGGGCCACUGGCAAAGCUGGGAAUAGGCAGGGAGAGAUUGGCGGUCCCCCUGAAGCAGUCUGCACCCCAGAAACACCGCAGCUGUUAUCACUCUUCCGAGGUGUAAUGAAUGCCGUUAAAGGGCUCGAAGCAGGAAUAUGAGUGGGGAUUUUAACUCUGCUCACAUCAAAACUGCAGUCAUUACACACUAAAGGCAUUAAAGCCCAUUAUCGUUAGGACGUGCUGACACGUCUUAAGGUUCUUAAAGUUUAACUCCCUGAGAGACGUCAAAAAUAGGGAUAUGAAAGAAAUUUACGAAUUAAUUAGAAAAGUAGACGUUAUAUGUAAAGUAUGCUAAGAUAAAACUAAAAAAGCAAAAUUAAAUAUGAAGAGCUAAUAAAUAUACAAUCAUUGUAGAAACCUUGGUAUAUCUGAAGAUCAUAAAACCGAUACAUUAAGUGUAUCCUUUAUAAUGUUUCUACCGAGAUAAUUAAUUUUUUUCUGGUCCCUGAGCGCUCACUGUACGCAUACAAUAGAGAAAAAAGGGUAGGGUCGCACUCAGCCACAACAAUUCAACCCAGGGUGCUACUGAGCAUGGGUCAGCAAAAAACCACAAGAACAAUGGACAAAAUGAAAAAACUCAGGCACUCACUGCGAUUGUUUGCAGGCAGAUUUAUUGCAACGUUUCGACCUGUUAAGGUCUUUUUAAAGCUAACACCACAGUGGCAAAAUUGCACUUAUACAUACACAAGUUACAAACAAACAAUUAGUUAAAUAAACAAUUAGGCAAUUAGAAAUUACAUUAAACAAGUGUUAAAAAAAUAAUACAAUCAAUAUAUCAAGUUAAUGCAUCAAACUUUAAAAAAGACAUGGUAAUGAAUAAAUAGAUUCUAUUUGUACACUGUACAUAUACAGUCUCUCAAGUUAGAAUUAACCUAAUCAUUUAAAUGUAGCAGCAGGCAAAGCUGAGAUGCAGCACUAAAAAGCACACUCCGAAUUAAAAUGAAAACAUUAAAAAAAAACAUUGUUGGAGGUCCACAGUGCUCUAGACCUCGUCCAAGUGUCCUUUGUUCUGCUAGAUAGUUGCUUGGUGACCCUAACAUAUGCAGACACCAGGAGAAUGGGCAUUUCUUGGCCCGUUCUUUGUGCUUGAAAAUGUGAAUAUAUGACUUACCCUACCACCCACUGUGCAGGAUGGAAGGAAGUGGUAGGAUCAUUCACAGCCCCCUACCUGGUUUUGUUUCCUAUCUAGUCCUCAUCUAACAAUGAGGAGGAAGGGUAUACUCUCUAAGGUCUAUUUAGUUGGAAUAAAAUAGAAAAUCCCUUUCUUGUGGUUUUGCGGAAGGUCAUUUUGUCAUGCUCUUUCUAUAAUUUGAUGGACCCUCUUAUGGUUGUUGCCAAACCAGUUCAGUUUGCUGGUCAGGUCAAUCUGGAGUGCGUUUACUUUUUCCAUUGACAUUAGUUUGCUUCUCACUGUUUAGCGCACAGGAGGACCAUCAUCCACCAUAACAAAACGCAACUUUGCUCCUGUUGCCAAUUAUUUCUUCCUGCAGUGGAGAGACUGUCUCAAAAAAACCAACAAAAUAAAUUGUUUAGAAAAAAAUGUGGACAACAGAAAAAUCACAAUUAAUUAAUGUUAAUUUUAAUUAUAGAAAUCUUCAAUUACUGCCAUAAUUAUAUCCUAAAGGUCAUGUUUGAAAUCUAUGCUCUAUUUUCUCUGUAAGGGGGCUGUCCUAGGUAAUAGUUUGACAGCAUUUGUAGCUAAUUUCAGGAUUCAUCAGUAGUGAUAGACAUUUUAAAGUGUUAUGUUACAUUCCAUUUUUAGAUAAAUUAUUGUUAUGAUUAAGUUUUUACAUAAAAAGAACAGCUCAUUUGAUUUAGUUUAAUUAUUCUUGAAUAGCAACAAGUAAAAUGUAACAUGUUAAUCGCAGUGUGUAACUGUUAAUCAUAUUUUGUCAUCUCUUUUAGUAUUGCAGCAUAUAAGUAUCCAACAAGACCCAAUACUGAUGCCACAACGUGACCAGAAUCCAAGAUGGCAAAGACUGAUCAAUCCUGUUUCUUUGAUGUAUAUUUCACUAAAUCUUUAUAAUGAACAUUUUAGUUCCCGUACUAGGCUCAUGUGUUUUACAAUAAAUACUCACCUGUUUCAAGCUUUAAGAAGACAGUAUAAAACCCCACAACAUUCGCUAACUGGAAAAGGCCUGGUAUAUUACAUAUCUCACAGUAACGAUAUCAUGAAGAAGUGGCCAAUCUACAGUUACUGAGUUACAUAGAUUGAAAAAAGACACUGUGUCAAUCAAGUUCAGCCUUUAUAGUGUGGCCAGAAAAAGACUGACAGCCCUAUGAUGAGCCACACUCACUGAUUCUGCAGCCAAACACUGUGUCAGUUGGUUAUAUCCUCUGUUUCCAAUUGGUCAUUGACUGUAUCCCAUCCCACCGGAGAGAUGGGUCCACCAAGGUGUGUGGAAAUUUUGAACCCUGUUGUAAGUGUGAAAAUAUGUUUGUCUAGUUGUAGUAGUGCAGUGUUGUGAUUACAAUGUGCAACUCACCAAAGGUUUGCAAUAUGGGAUCGUAUUUAAUGUAUGUGUGAAUGUGUUUAGAAACAUAGAAUGUGACGGCAGAUAAGAACCAUUCGGCCCAUCUAGUCUGCCCAAUUUUCUAAAUACUUUCAUUAGUCCCUGGCCUUAUCUUUUAGUUAGGAUAGCCUUAUGCCUAUCCUACGCAUGUUUAAACUCCCUCUCUGUGUUAACCUCUACCACUUCAGCUGGAAGGCUAUUCCAUGCCCCCACUACCCUCUCUGUAAAGUAAUAAUUACUAAGAAUUAUUUUUUUAACCUUGCCCCUUGGUUUCCAAAUACAUCCUGAGCAUGUUACUGUUGCCCAGCAUCCAGGGGAUGUUACUAUUGCGACCCCCAAGGUUGAACAGAUUCUACUGAUGAAACAUUAGCCCACUGAGCUAUAUCACCAGGCUGUUUAGCAGAUAUGCCCAAUCUUCAGCAUAUCAAGUGGGAUUAUAAGGGGGGUUUUAUACUAUAGUUAGACCCACAUGGGCUUUGUUAAACUUUUUACUUUGGUGGCUGGCUAGUGAUAGGUUUUUAACGAUUUGCUGUCUGGCUGCUAGCACUGGUAGUUUAUCUCACAAUGUAAUAGAGUUGGUGAUUUUAAGUGAGCAGCAGAAUAUGCAAAAGGGCUGGAGCAUUUUGGUAACCAGAUAAAAAUAAACUAUGAUAUCAAUGGCCCCUACUGAAGAUGAAUAGUUCCAAGUUAAUCAACAUUUGAAGGUUGGUAAAGUGUGUCAAUGUUAAAUCUGGGAGAGUUGUACAUGCACUGAUGUUUUAAAUGCAAAAUUAUUGUCUGCCACAUGAUUUAACUCUUACACCGCAGAGUGUUUUUUUUUUUUUAACGAUUUGUCUUCUGACUGCUAGCGCUGGCAGUAAGUAUGUAGUACUGAUUAUUAUAGCAAAAAGCAAGUGGACAAUCAUUUCCAAAUAAGAAUCCUACUGGAUACACAUUUGGAAUUAUCUGGUUAUCUUUAGAAUCUGUGCUUUGUAAAUGUAUGGAUCAUAUACUUCAAAUGUGAAAUGAACGGCUUUUAAAGUUGACACUGAAUGUGCCCAGCAACAUGGUGCAGAUUCUGCAUUCUUUCUUUCUACAGAUCCAGAUAUGCACCAUGAUUUCCAGUGGCAAAAACAAACAUUUCGAAAUUUAGCAAUAUCAUAUGCAAACAAUGAAAUGCUUUACCUUUAAUCAAAAUUAGAAAUUCAAUGGCACUCUUCCACCCUUGCUCCUCCAUUCCUUUUAACAUGUUUCCUCAGCUGCCUCUAAUCUUAACGAUUUAACUACCUUACACAUUAUUCAGUAUUUACAUAUUGCCCCAGAUCUCAGGCCAUCAACAUCAUAUCUCAAUUUCCCAUUAUUACCCAUUUAGAUUGGAAGCUCACAUGAUGUCUUGCUAAGCACUUUGUUUGCUAGACUGUAGGCUCAUGGGCAGAGCCUGUUUUUGUUUGCAUCAGUACAUGUUCAUUAUUUGUCUGUAUUAUUAUUUAUAUAGCGCCAACAAAUUCUGCAGCGCUGUACAAUGGGGUGUUCCCUCUAUUAUGCAGCUGUCGGCACUAUAUACAUACCAAAUAAUUAUAAUAAUUAGACUUGUUUAUAUUAAUUUAGGUGGGCUCCAAUUCUGAACUCAUUCAGAUUAAUUUUGUGAUGGCUUUUAAUAAAAUAUGUAUAAUAGAGAGUACAUUUUUUUUUCUCUUUUUCAUCAUGGUAGCCCACCAUGUAUCUCAGCAAAGUGUUUGUCUGAUGGACAAACUGGAAGGAAGAAUCCAUUACAAAAAUAACACCAAAUACAAAGUUAAGCAAUGCAUACCAUGACAUUCCAACUACCCUUCAAGGAAGGAUAGACUAUAUUCUUCCACACUAUCAUGGAAUCACAAUCAACACAAACCACAUACCACUCGAUCCAAUAAUUAUCAAACCCAGCCAAGACACCUCUACCCAGCACAUGAAUAUCACAUCUCUUUUCCCACAGCUUCCAACUAUCAUAAACACAAUGAUAAUCCAACAUAUUCCCCAGGGAUAUAUCAAAAUGAUAGGCAACAAGACCCAAAGCCCAAAGAUCUAGAUUCGCACACAGACACUUUGAAAGCACUAAGUCACCUAUCAGUUACACUCACAAAAACAGAUAUCAAAUGUUAUCUAUAGACUCAGAAUCUGAAAAUGAUGAUUAUUUUUAGAAUUAUGCACUCAGAACAACACCCACGCACAAACACCACAUCCUACAAAAACGAGGAAAAGGAACUUAAGUUUAGAGGAAGGAGAAGUGGGAGAGGAACACAAAAGAGAAAGGCUAGAUCGACAAUAACUCCUAUAAAUGAGAGGGAACUUGGCAUUUUUAAUUUAUCACAAAAAGCCCUAACAGCCACACAAAUAUCAGUCCUCAGGAAAUGACUUAAGUUCGCUCCUACGAACCCUUAUAAGCCAUUUAAAGCAUUCAUAGAUAUUAAUAAAUUUGUAAGGAAGGCUACCCUUAAGAGAUUCUUUGCCAGCAAAAACCUAGACACAAUUACUCCGAAACUCCCAGUUACAUUACCAGAUGAUUGCCCAAACGUAAUAUCUACCUCUCUAAAAAAGAACUCCACCUUUUUCCCAUCAAGUUUCAAAACAGGCCCCCUAGAGGUCUUCAAAAAAUUGGUCACAAAAGAAUUUGAAAAAAUCAAAAGAGACAAAUAUAAUCAAGACAAUCUCUCACAAUUAGAAUGUAAGGCAUUUUCACAAUUACAAAAAGAUGAAAGCAUUGUCAUAAAAUCAGCCGAUAAAGGUGGGGGAAUUGUAAUACUGUCUAAAGAUAUGUACAAAGGAGAAGCCAUGAGACAACUCAAUGACCAUAAGGUCUAUGAAAAAUUACCACGACACCCGACCCCAAGAAUCCAGCAAAUUUUAACCUCUUUUUUAAAUAAUGGCCGAGACCAAAAGAUUUUAAAUAAACAAGAAUAUGACUUUUUAAAUGUCUCUCAUUCAAAAAUUCCAGUUAUUUACUUCUUACCAAAAAUUCAUAAAGAUGAUAAAAAUCCCCCUGGAAGGCCUAUUGUAUCAGGGAUAAAUUCCAUUUUAUCAAACUUAUCUGAAUAUUUAGAUAUCCUCCUACAACCCUCUGUUAAAUGUAUGAAAUCGUACUUAAAAGACUCCAUGACUCUACUCCGUUUUUUAAAUAAUUUUAUUUGGAAAGACACUUAUUUUUUAGUUACUUGUGACCUACAAUCGUUGUAUACAAUUAUCCCUCAUGAUAAAGGCUGCUCCACAGUGGAAAAAUUCUAAGGGCAGAAAACAUAAUUCCAGACUAACAGAUUAGUUUUAUAAUAGAAGGUAUUAAUAUUAUUUUAAAAAAUAACUAUUUUUGGUUUUUAGACUCUUUUUAUUUACAGAAACAAGGUACUCCUAUGGGGACCAGAUUUGCGCCCAGUUAUGCAAACCUCUUUAUGGCAGAGUUGGAAACUACAGCCAUUUUUGGAGAGCAUGACUGGAAGACAAGCCUGGUCACAUAUUUUAGAUAUAUCGACGACAUGUUUUCUUAUCUGGGAAGGCACAGAAAGUUCCCUUAAUCAAUUUCUACUUUUUUUUAAACCAAAACAAUAACGGUAUAAUUUUAACACAUGAAUAUAGCCAAUCUGUUAUUCAUUUCUUAGACCUACAAAUUUUUAUCCAAGAUAAUGAGGUUCAUACUAAAACUCUUUUUAAAAAAGUCUGCACAGACAAUGUGAUUGAUAUAUCAAGCUGCCAUUAUAAACCAUGGCUGCAUGGAAUACCUAAAAGUCAGUUCCUCCGUUUGCGAAGGAACUGUUCUCUCACCCAAGACUUUGAAGACCAAUACCAUACGUUAUUAUGUAAAUUCUCACAAAAAAAUUACCCUACUAAUAACUUAAAUCAAGCUAUUAAAAAUGUUAGGGAAAAAGACAGAUUGGAUCUCCUAGAAUAUUGAGAUAACAAAACCUCUAAGAAUGCUCCAUCAUUGCCAAUUAUCUUCGACUUCAAUAACAAAAAUAAUGUUAUGAAGAAGAUUAUCAACAAACAUUGGCAUAUAUUAAAACAGGAUGAGACUUUAGCUGGGAUUAUCCCCAAAAAACCACAUGUUAUAUUCAGAGGGGCACCUAGCUUCAAAUCCAUCCAUACAAAGAAUUAUACCAAACAGAACCAAACUACCUCUUCUUUCUGUUCUCCCCCUUUUCUUAAUAAGCCCAAAGGUUUUUUUAAAUGCAAUAAAUGCAUAGUAUGCAAACAUAUGGACAACAAUAUUAAAUCAAAAACUACCUCCUUUAAAUCAUCCAUUACCCAAAGAACAUACCUUAUAAAACAUUUUAUCCACUGUAGUACUAAAAAUGUAAUUUACCUAUUAGAAUGCCCAUGUGGACUUCAAUACGUGGGCAUGAACACUAGAGAAUUAAAAAUUAGAUUGGCAGAACAUUGCCGAAAUAUUCGAAAAGGUUAUGAGAACCAUUCAGUAUCUAAACACUUUUUAAUACAUGGUAAAAAUCCUAAAUUUUUAAAAUGCAUAGGUAUAGACACUUGUAACAUCCCUUGGAGAGAUGGAGACAUAAAAAAGAUUCUAGGUAGUAAAGAAAUGGAAUGGGCAUUUAAUUUAAAAACUCUUACCCCACAAGGUCUCAAUAUAGACUUCAACUUUUUUAAUUUUUUAUAACUUUUAUUGCAUCUAUCCCUCCCUUUUAAUCAUGUAUUUUUAAUAAGAAUUAACAAAC